This 497-nucleotide ribosomal RNA is filed under the name uncultured bacterium. RNAcentral's name for it is "partial 16S ribosomal RNA". It matches the Rfam family "Bacterial small subunit ribosomal RNA", at positions 28 to 507 of the family's 1533-position model. The record is from RNAcentral.
GAUGAACGCUGGCGGCGUGCCUAAUACAUGCAAGUCGAGCGAACGGACGAGAAGCUUGCUUCUCUGAUGUUAGCGGCGGACGGGUGAGUAACACGUGGAUAACCUACCUAUAAGGCUGGGAUAACUCCGGGAAACCGUAGCUAAUACCGGAUAAUAUUUUGAACCGCAUGGUUCAAAAGUGAAAGACGGUCUUGCUGUCACUUAUAGAUGGAUCCGCGCUGCAUUAGCUAGUUGGUAAGGUAACGGCUUACCAAGGCAACGAUGCAUAGCCGACCUGAGAGGGUGAUCGGCCACACUGGAACUGAGACACGGUCCAGACUCCUACGGGAGGCAGCAGUAGGGAAUCUUCCGCAAUGGGCGAAAGCCUGACGGAGCAACGCCGCGUGAGUGAUGAAGGUCUUCGGAUCGUAAAACUCUGUUAUUAGGGAAGAACAUAUGUGUAAGUAACUGUGCACAUCUUGACGGUACCUAAUCAGAAAGCCACGGCUAACUACGUG